CCUACGGGAGGCAGCAGUGAGGAAUAUUGGUCAAUGGACGAGAGUCUGAACCAGCCAAGUAGCGUGAAGGAUGACUGCCCUAUGGGUUGUAAACUUCUUUUAUAUGGGAAUAAAAUGUUCCACGUGUGGGAUUUUGUAUGUACCAUAUGAAUAAGGAUCGGCUAACUCCGUGCCAGCAGCCGCGGUAAUACGGAGGAUCCGAGCGUUAUCCGGAUUUAUUGGGUUUAAAGGGAGCGUAGGUGGAUUGUUAAGUCAGUUGUGAAAGUUUGCGGCUCAACCGUAAAAUUGCAGUUGAAACUGGCAGUCGUGAGUACAGUAGAGGUGGGCGGAAUUCGUGGUGUAGCGGUGAAAUGCUUAGAUAUCACGAAGAACUCCGAUUGUGAAGGCAGCUCACUGGACUGCAACUGACACUGAGGCUCGAAAGUGUGGGUAUCAAACAGGAUUAGAUACCCCUGUAGUC
RNAcentral lists this ribosomal RNA (460 nucleotides) under uncultured bacterium. RNAcentral's name for it is "partial 16S ribosomal RNA". It matches the Rfam family "Bacterial small subunit ribosomal RNA", at positions 338 to 795 of the family's 1533-position model. The record is from RNAcentral.